RNAcentral lists this ribosomal RNA (467 nucleotides) under uncultured bacterium. Its description in RNAcentral is "bacterial SSU rRNA". It matches the Rfam family "Bacterial small subunit ribosomal RNA", at positions 28 to 526 of the family's 1533-position model. The record is from RNAcentral.
GAUGAACGCUAGCGGCGUGCUUAAAACAUGCAAGUCGAACGAACACUUCGGUGUUAGUGGCAAACGGCUGAGUAACGCGUGGGUGACCUGCCUGGAAGUGGGGAAUAACUGCCCGAAAGGGUGGCUAAUACCGCAUGUGAUGGCGAGACCGAUCUCGUCAUGAAAGUCUUCGGACGCUUCGAGAGGGGCCCGCGUUCGAUUAGCUAGUUGGUGGGGUAACGGCCUACCAAGGCGACGAUCGAUGGCUGGUCUAAGAGGAUGAUCAGCCAGACUGGGACUGCGACACGGCCCAGACUCCUACGGGAGGCAGCAGGUAGGAAUUUUGGGCAAUGGGCGAAAGCCUGACCCAGCAACGCCGCGUGGGUGAUGAAGGCCUUCGGGUCGUAAAGCCCUUUUUCAGGGGAAGAUGAUGACGGUACCCUGAGAAUAAGCCCCGGCUAACUACGUGCCAGCCGCCGCCGUAAAAC